CUCGAUGCUAGGCACUACGCAAGCUGAAAAUACAAUAUUGAGUGAAACAGUCAUGGUGCUUGCUUUUUUGGUGUUGAUAUUCUAAUAGGUCUGUUUCAUCUUAUUAUAGAUUCUUUCUAACAAUAAUCAGCCUGGGUUGUAAACCAUAGCUCACAUCCUUCAGCUUUCUUCUAUCUUAGGUUGAUAUCCUACUUCCCCUCCAACUCUCACUGAGUUAGAGGUAUCAUUUAUUUUUGGUGAUCAUUUGCAAAUUCUUCCAUGGCUCCUAAGUCUAGUGUUUCAUUCUAGUUUCUUACUUUAGGGAGCCUCUUCGCCCUGAGAUGGCUCUUUUGGAUAAAACCCAAGAUGACCACAUCAGCUCUGUCUUCUACACGGCCUAUACCUCAUCCAAAAUAAACACUCAUGCAUCCCUUGUCCCCAUAAAUUCUAGGAGUCCAGGAUGAACUUAAUGCACCAAUACUUUGCUGUUUCUACAGUGACAUCAGUCUUUCUCAAGUCUCCCAAUAGCAAGGAGCAUAUUUGAAGCUUUCUGAGCGAUUCCAUGGAAGCCCCCUCACUAGGCUUGAGGUAAAGGAAACAGAAAGACCAAAACAAUCCUCUCAAGGUACCAGGAACAUGACCCACUACUCUCUCAAAGCAACAACAGCAAAGCCACGGCUCUUCUUCGGAGAAGUUCUUCCCUAUUCCACAUUCUGUCUACUCUGCACACCUUGUUCUGGCCAAGGGACACAAGAGUCAUUGAGCUGGGAAAAACGGUUCUUAACCAUUUCCUUUGUAAAUUCUUCUUAUGAGAGGAUCUGUGUCAUGCCCUUUUUAUUAUCUAAUAUUUCUCAUAUUGAUGGCUCAUUCAAAAUGGAAGAAAGAAGAGUUUCAUUUUAACAUCAUUUAAAAUAGAGAUGGGAUUUCUGACAACUUGCUUUGAGCAUUUUUCUCAGAUACAGUGGUUGUCACAACAAAGAAGGCAGCAAAAGUCACAGAGGAAACUACUUGAGUCAUUCAGAAUUCAUAAGGAAAAUAGAAGGACCUGGAAGGUAUAAUGACCCAGGAACAUGAUUGGAGGGUGAUUCAGUGUCAAGAAACUUGAUAAUUGCCACUUUCCCCACACUCGUCACUAAGGCUAGUGGAACCUAGGGAACAAGUAGUACACAAGAUGUGCAAAGAGUAGCUAAAACCUGGAGUCAUCUCUAAUAAGAAAAGCAAUUUUUGAGCCUCUAUCUCAUGCAAGUUAGGAUGUGGUUGUUUGUGUGGUUGCAGAAAAACAGGUCAGAGCAUCUAGUCACAUGGCUCCAGGACUGACUUUACCAGAGAAGUCUAUAAAAGACUUUUCCUUGAUGAAGGGGCUUGCAGUUUUCUCUGUGUUUUAGAGGAGAAACUCUGUGGAGAGGCCUGAGGUUAAAGCAAUGAGGUCUCCUUGAGUUCAGGAUAUGACUUAGCUCAGACUUGAGUUGGGAUGAGGAUGAAAAAGAGAUGUUUCUCUUAUCUUCUCUAGAGAGCACCAAUGAGUAGUCAUAUUUGAAGAGCAAUGUGGAGAGAUUUUAGGUAUUCAUGGCAAUUUCUAUUGCUUAGAAAGAAUAGGUGUCCAAGAACAUUCAAAAAACAGAAGGAAGGGGCUGGCCCGGUGGCACAGCAGUUCAGUUAGCAUAUUCCACUUCAGCAGCCUGGGGUUCGGUCAAGAUAGCGCCAGUCUUCCUUGGCAAUGAAGAGGAGGAUUGGUGGCAGAUGUUAGUUCAGGGCUAAUCUUCCU
Molecule: long non-coding RNA, 1744 nt
Filed under: Equus asinus (donkey)
Lineage: Eukaryota; Metazoa; Chordata; Mammalia; Perissodactyla; Equidae
Description: lncRNA (ENSEASG00005037346.1)
Source: RNAcentral